CUGUUUGAUCCUCAUGCUUAGAUCCUAUCGUCCACUAUAGCUUAGGAUAAAAGUGCUGAUUUGUAAUGGAAAAAUACACAUAUAAUCAUAGAUGAUCAAGCAUAAGUGUAAAAUGACAAAGAACAGCUAAUGCAUUAAAAUGCAUGAACUGAAGUGGCUAAAUAUAUGACUGGAACACAGGAGUGAGUCCCAGAGGAGCAUCGCGCGCGCACAGGUGAGACCCGACACAGUGACGUCACGGGCGUCGCGCAGGUGAGCGCGUGUUGCCGGGCGUUGACUGUUGUUAAGAGACCCGUUAUUCAUAUUCUCACACAAUCCCGCAUUUAAAUGAAAACUGCGGCUGCCGUGGACUGUCCUCAGAGCAGCCGAUUAUUGAUCCGCUGCGAACUUUGGACCGACAAACACUGCGACUCCCGCAGAACAUGAGAAGAGCCGAGCUUGUGUGAGUCCUGCUAAGAACCACCAGAACCGGGACCGAGAGUCUGUUCGCGGAGCCGAGGAUGAGCGCGAGAUAACGGUCCGGUUCGUGAUGGAGCUCGGGAACCAGUUCAGAUCGGAUCCGAAUCGAGAGCGAGCCAGCGACACUAUUCCUCGCGCCGAUCCGGAUCAGACCCAAAAAAGGAGGAGGAGCUUCCCGAAAUGGCUGAUUGGCCUCAUCUUCACCAUCAUCAUCCUCGUCUUGGCAGGAUCUUCAUCUCUUAUCUGGUACUUUCUGGAGUACAGGGUGUGGGUUCUGGAGCCGCGGCUGGUCCAGCAGUACACAGCCAGUGUUUCUAUACUCAAUCUGAACUUCUCUGUCAGUCUGUCAAGCCACGAGAGCUCAGAGUUCAGAGCGGCGGCUGCGUCUGUGCAGAACAUGGUGGAGAAGCUGCUGAAGUGCACAGACCUGUCCAGAUACUUCAACUCCAGCGCAGUGUUUGCGUUCGGGAACGGCAGUGUGGUGGCUCAUCUCUGGCUGCGUCUGUCGGUUCCUAGCAGUCGUGUGGAGACGGUGAGCAUCCAGCGACUGAACGAGAGCGUGUUCAGAGAACUGCAGCGCUUCAGCGACGCUCAGCAGAUCAGCAGAUACGAGGGUUUCCAUCUGCUGCUGCCCUCGCUCAGCUUCACCGGU
Molecule: long non-coding RNA, 1111 nt
Filed under: Sinocyclocheilus grahami
Lineage: Eukaryota; Metazoa; Chordata; Actinopteri; Cypriniformes; Cyprinidae
Description: lncRNA (ENSSGRG00000002371.1)
Source: RNAcentral